This 362-nucleotide long non-coding RNA is filed under the name Bos taurus (domestic cattle). Its description in RNAcentral is "long non-coding RNA NONBTAT011934". Lineage: Eukaryota; Metazoa; Chordata; Mammalia; Artiodactyla; Bovidae. The record is from RNAcentral.
GGACCAUGUUGCUUAUCACUCUGGUAGGGGAUGUAAUUUUCUCUUCUAAGCAAGGGAAAUGGCAGUGCUAAAUAGUUUUGUAACUUUUUGAAUGAGAAAAUUUUAGGUAAAGACAACCUGUCAGAUAAUAUUUUUCAGAUGCAUUUACAUUGACUAUGGGGAAAAGAUUGUGAAAAAAGUUGCAGUCAUGGGUUUUUUGUAAAAAGAGAAGGAAGAAACCUCUGUCUUGAAAUUUUGGUUUUUAAAAAUCAUGAUACUGUUUUACCAUAAAAUUGAGUAGCUAACUUUUGGUAACACCUUUUGUUUAUUUGUAUGUUUGUAAUAAUGGACAUUUUAAAACACAGGAAUGUUUUGGUUUGUAC